This 74-nucleotide transfer RNA is filed under the name Mus musculus (house mouse). It matches the Rfam family "tRNA". From Rfam's summary of the family: Transfer RNA (tRNA) molecules are approximately 80 nucleotides in length. The record is from Rfam by way of RNAcentral. Lineage: Eukaryota; Metazoa; Chordata; Mammalia; Rodentia; Muridae.
AGGGUGGUGGCUCAGUGGGUAAGAGCGCUUGCUUUACAAGCAUGGGGGCUUGAGUUUGAAUCUCUGGCACCUAU